GUUUUUAUAAUUUAAUCAAAAUAUUAGUUUUGUAAACUAAAAUUAAGCCCGUCUUUAAAAACA
RNAcentral lists this transfer RNA (63 nucleotides) under Scaphidema metallicum. RNAcentral describes it as "tRNA-Thr". The record is from RNAcentral. Lineage: Eukaryota; Metazoa; Arthropoda; Insecta; Coleoptera; Tenebrionidae.